GACAGCAGCCGCCGCGGUAAUACGGAGGGUGCAAGCGUUAUCCGGAUUUAUUGGGUUUAAAGGGUCCGUAGGCGGAUCUGUAAGUCAGUGGUGAAAUCUCACAGCUUAACUGUGAAACUGCCAUUGAUACUGCAGGUCUUGAGUAAAUUUGAAGUGGCUGGAAUAAGUAGUGUAGCGGUGAAAUGCAUAGAUAUUACUUAGAACACCAAUUGCGAAGGCAGGUCACUAAGAUUUAACUGACGCUGAUGGACGAAAGCGUGGGGAGCGAACAGGAUUAGAUACCCGCGUAGUCCCUGUCUCUUAUAC
Molecule: ribosomal RNA, 306 nt
Filed under: uncultured bacterium
Lineage: Bacteria
Description: partial 16S ribosomal RNA
Rfam family: Bacterial small subunit ribosomal RNA
Source: RNAcentral